Molecule: long non-coding RNA, 911 nt
Filed under: Marmota monax (woodchuck)
Lineage: Eukaryota; Metazoa; Chordata; Mammalia; Rodentia; Sciuridae
Source: RNAcentral
UCUCAAUACCUCAACCAGAACCCAAGGGCCUCCCUCUCCAGCCUUUGAGGAAGUACCUCUUUUUCAUAACUCUUCAGGGAAUUUCCCCUGCUAUUUCACUUCCUCUGGUUCAGCAUCCUGUGACCAGAUCAUUCAAAUUUCUUCCCCAACCUUUGCUCUGCCCGGGUUCUUUUUCUGGUGCAAUGGUACCCUGACAAAAAACCUAAGUCUCAACAUGCCCUUGGCUUUUUGUGUUCCUUCCACCUUGGUCCCCAAUCAACUGUACAGUGAGGAUGAAUUAAAGUGGCUUGUCACCACCUCCCUUUCCAGGGCAAGACAGCUUGUCUUUCCACCAGUAGUAAGUAGUUGGACUCUCCCUGGCCUCCUCCCUCGCUGCCUCUGGACUUGGUUAUGCAGUAACCACCACUCAGAAUCUUGAACAACAACUUCAGAAAGUGGGAGAGGCAUUGGCCGCCUCUCUCGCUUCCAUACAAAGGCAAAUGACAUGUAUUACCCAAGUUUCAUUAGAGAGCCAUUGAGCCCUUGAUCUCCUAACAAAGACAAAGGAGAAACCUGUCUAUUCCUGAAAGAAGAAGGCUGCUGCUACAUCAAUGAAACUGGAUUGGUUGAAUAGAAUGUCGACACCCUCCAUCAUUUGGGUGAAAGGUUUAAACAGCAGCCAGCAAAUGACCCCUGGCCAGGCUGGCUAAACUCACCCUCAUUGCGUGGCUGACUCCCAUUCUCACUCCUAUGUUAGUAAUAGAACUUCUAUUAAUGAUUGCUCCCUUCCUCCUCAGUUUCCCCUGAAAGCACGUGGGUGAAAUUGCCAGAGUGACCUACAACCAGAUGCCCCUACACCCCUACAGUCACCUCCCCACUGAACCGAUACCCAAGCCACCCCCUUCCUCCCAGAGCCCCUAGCCAGCAGGAAG